GACACACACACACACACACACACACACACACACACACACACAGAGAUAGGUAUACAGUACACACACACACAAAGGCAGAAACACACACACACACAGAGAUAGGUAUACAGUACACACACACACAAAGGCAGAAACACACACACACACAGAGAUAGGUAUACAGUACACACACACACACAGAGAUAGGUAUACAGUACACACACACACACACACACACACACACAGAGAUAGGUAUACAGUACACACACACACACAGAGAUAGGUAUACAGUACACACACACAAAGGCAGAAACAAACACACACACACAGAGAUAGGUAUACAGUACACACACACACACACAGAGAUAGGUAUACAGUACACACACACAAAGGCAGAAACACACACACACACAGAGAUAGGUAUACAGUACACACACACAAAGGCAGAAACACACACACACACACAGAGAUAGGUAUACAGUACACACACACAAAGGCAGAAACACACACACACACAGAGAUAGGUAUACAGUACACACACACAAAGGCAGAAACACACACACACACAGAGAUAGGUAUACAGUACACACACACAAAGGCAGAAACACACACACAUGCAUACAAUUAUAA
Long non-coding RNA from Oncorhynchus keta (chum salmon), 609 nucleotides. RefSeq lists it as uncharacterized. The record is from RefSeq and is a predicted model, not a curated record. NCBI's taxonomy places the organism in Eukaryota, Metazoa, Chordata, Actinopteri, Salmoniformes, Salmonidae. The transcript is spliced from 4 exons.